UGAUCCGAUAGUUCAUCCAAAAUUGUAGGUGAAACAUGGUUGCUGAUUCUGACACUUGUCAUCACCCGACCCGAAACGGGUUGCAUUUGGACCGCAAUUUGCCCGAAAUUUGGCGUUCAUUUGCGUUUGUUAUGAUCGUUUUUUGGUUUUGUCCGUACUCUCUUUCCAAGUGCAGUGUCCACCAUCACAGUCCGGUUUUUCUAUAAAUACUCCACGCUUUGUGCUUCAUUCCUCGCUUUCUUUUUCCUUUUCUUUUAGUUUCAACUAGAGAGAGAGUGACUUUCCUAGAGAGAGAGAGUUAGGUUUUUUUGUUUUUUCAUUAAUUUUUUUUGUUUGUUUUUGUGGUUUUGGUUUGUGUUUUCUAUCGUUGUUUUGUAGGUACUGAGGAGGAAGAAAACUCGGAAGAUUGAUUUUCGUUGAAGAGCGUACGAUUUGGGAAAGGCCUUGAAGUUGGCGUGUAUUAGAUUGGAAUCUUAGAAGUUGCUGUUUGGAUUUUCGAUCGAAAGAAUGGAGGUAUAUGGCAAAUCUAUGGUUGCAGCUCCUGCAAAUGUUAUUUAUCUGUCAAGUAUUUUGGGCCAAGAUGGUCCUGUUCCUGUUCACAAAUGUGACUGGAAAUGUCAAAAUGAAAAUGUUUGCGGGAACAUGUACCGCUGCAAGCUAACAGGGCUGACUCACAUCUGUGAUAAAAACUGUAACCAGAGAAUUCUGUAUGAUAAUCAUAGCUCUCUUUGCCUAGCAAGUGGCAAAAUUUUCCCCCUUUCGCAAGAAGAGGAACAAGCUGUGAGAGGUGUUCGCAGAAAGCUUGAUGCAGAGAAUUCGCUUGCUGAUAGCUGUGGUUGUAAGCGGAGACGUGAUGCACAAUUCCACCCGUCUCCUUUCGAGAGAUCCUUCUCUGCUGUCAGUCCUAUCUGCAGCCAAGUUGGAGAUGGCAUGGAUAUGAGCUAGAUAUCUAUUAUUCAACUAAGAAGACUCUGUCAUUUGACUCAUUUUCUCUUAUCCUUUUGAAAUUGCUUUUUUACUUUUUCUAUCGAUAACAGAACUUGAUCGUAUUUGGUGGACUUGAUGUGUCCCCAUGUGCUGUAGGAAGUACUUACUUAUAUUUCUAGCAUUAAUGUAAUGCAGUAUUUGAGGUAGCUUUGCUUGACUGUUGAAUGGGGAUUUGAGCAGUAUCUAUGCACUAGUUAAUGGCACAUGAAUUGACUUUGGUUUCAGUUUUGGGUUAACCUUAUUGAGAGUCAGACUUUGAAAACUGACAAAAGGAUGUGUUCUGGCAUUUUAGAAUGCUUGAAUUUGAUUAUUGACCCGAAUGAUGUAUACUCGGGAAAUGUAUUCAAGUUUCUACUUUAUCUGUAUUCUCAAGGCAGCCAUAUUAUAGUAUUAGUGUACUCAUUAAUAAUGCUACUGUCCUGAAUUGUAUUAUUUAACUUCUAGGGUUAUGAUAGACACCGAGUUUUGUAAGUUCAGGUUCCCUCCAGUUCCUCAUAUGAACAAUCAUAUGAACAAGGUUGUCGGUAGGUUAUCUGGUGAAAUCUGAUAUAGUUUUUCACAUGUUUAUAUGUUUUAAUUCUCUUUUGAUUUUCUUUUCAGCUUGAUGUCUGUGGUUAGAUGUAACCCAUGCAGGUUUUGAAGCUUGUGCUGCAAAGGAACACUCGAAACAUGCGAUGCAUACUGACUACUAACUAAAUUCUUUUGAUAUAGAAUCCCUAUACAUUAUAACCUGAAAUGUUAAGGAAUAUCAUUUUCUUGAUGCAGGUACAGGGGCUUGCAAAUUCUGCUUGAGUCUGUCUUGGAAUAUGGAGGAAGAGCACAGUUAUGUGAUGAGCUCAGGCAAAUAAUCAUGAUCUUGAUAUGCUAAGUGGAAACAAAAGGAUUGAGUUGAGAGCAGUUAUGAUGUGGAUUGUGGCAUUGAGCAAAUAAUUGGGACCUUAGCAGGAUACUUAUCAUCAUCAUCGCCAUUUAUAUAUCAAAAACUGAUAAUUAGACCUCUAUAUAGAAAGCAAUACAGCUGGUUUCUUCUCAAUAUUUUAUGGUAUGUUUUUUAAGCUGAUGAUGUAAAUCUUUUUGGUACAUAAGCAGGUGGAUAAUUUAAUGUCUUAGAAUUCAGAGGUUUUGUGAUGUAUGUCUUAUUCUGGGUUAUGGUAUUCUUCAACCAAUGAAAGUUGGAGGAUUAUUAUUA
This is a non-coding RNA of Arachis ipaensis, 2176 nucleotides long. NCBI's taxonomy places the organism in Eukaryota, Viridiplantae, Streptophyta, Magnoliopsida, Fabales, Fabaceae. The record is from RefSeq and is a predicted model, not a curated record.